Molecule: ribosomal RNA, 253 nt
Filed under: uncultured bacterium
Lineage: Bacteria
Description: partial 16S ribosomal RNA
Rfam family: Bacterial small subunit ribosomal RNA
Source: RNAcentral
UACGAAGGGGGCUAGCGUUGUUCGGAUUUACUGGGCGUAAAGCGCACGUAGGCGGAUCGUUAAGUCAGGGGUGAAAUCCUGGAGCUCAACUCCAGAACUGCCUUUGAUACUGAGAAGCUUGAGUCCGGGAGAGGUGAGUGGAACUGCGAGUGUAGAGGUGAAAUUCGUAGAUAUUCGCAAGAACACCAGUGGCGAAGGCGGCUCACUGGCCCGGUACUGACGCUGAGGUGCGAAAGCGUGGGGAGCAAACAGG